GGAUUCAGGUACAGCUGGAUGCAGGGAAUCGGCCUCGCCCUGCUGCCGGGGGUGUCCUGCUCCAGUGUCAGAUGUGAAGCCUGCCUGUGUCAGAUGCCCCUUGGGUGCAGCACCCGUGAUUUGUCCUCCUUCCAACGUAGGUUUAGAAGCAGGAGUGGGGACCUGCUCCUUUCCCAUGGAAGCUGCAGACAGCCUGGGAGCUGGACACGGGAAGAAGCAACAUCUGAGUCAUUGGGGUCUCAUCAGACAGCCAUGGCUGCCAGUCACUUCAGAGUUCCUCGGCGGCUAUUUCAAAAAGUUUAACUCAGUACAGGUCUACAGGAAAAAAAGGUCUUAAAAGUUGUCUG
Long non-coding RNA from Cygnus atratus (black swan), 347 nucleotides. RefSeq lists it as uncharacterized. The transcript has 3 exons. The record is from RefSeq and is a predicted model, not a curated record. NCBI's taxonomy places the organism in Eukaryota, Metazoa, Chordata, Aves, Anseriformes, Anatidae.